This 254-nucleotide ribosomal RNA is filed under the name uncultured bacterium. Its description in RNAcentral is "partial 16S ribosomal RNA". It matches the Rfam family "Bacterial small subunit ribosomal RNA", at positions 524 to 776 of the family's 1533-position model. The record is from RNAcentral.
GACGUAGGGCGCGAGCGUUGUCCGGAUUUAUUGGGCGUAAAGAGCUCGUAGGCGGCUUGUCGCGUCGACUGUGAAAUCCCGAGGCUCAACCUCGGGUCUGCAGUCGAUACGAGCAAACUAGAGUGUUGCAGGGGAGACUGGAAUUCCUGGUGUAGCGGUGAAAUGCGCAGAUAUCAGGAGGAACACCGAUGGCGAAGGCAGGUCUCUGGGCAUUAACUGACGCUGGAGGAGCGAAAGCAUGGGGAGCGAACAGG